Molecule: long non-coding RNA, 1854 nt
Organism: Mastacembelus armatus (zig-zag eel)
Lineage: Eukaryota; Metazoa; Chordata; Actinopteri; Synbranchiformes; Mastacembelidae
Source: Ensembl
AUUAGCUCGCAAACCCGCAAUAACAAAGAAGAACACAAGCGAGUGAUUCCUUCGAUACUAAUUAAGGAGCAGUGGCGCGCUGAGUUAGGCAGUCUAUUACUCAAACGAGAAAACUGCACAGCGUCCGGAAUAGAAGACGAUGGUAAGUUUCCCUGUUGCUUUUCCAAAUGUCUUUUAGCGCGUUACCCAUUAAAAUGGGACUGUCAGUGUAACUUUCAGCCUUUUGCAGACGAGUACGCGCUGCCGGGGCCGCUCUCUCGUGUGCGUAAACUCGGAUUUGGUGUGUCGGUCGGACUGUCUGGAGAUGUGGAGACCUCUCCUCCUCCUCCUCGCGGCUUUGUUUACUCCGCUUUCUCCAAUCCGGGGCGCAAGCGGUCGUCUGACAUCAUCUUUCCCAGAUCCAAUCAGGCGAAGAGACCGGGAAACAUCGCCUCAAACCCUCCAGUUCCAUCGCUCCAAAAUCUCAGCUGUUUAAUCCCUUUAAUGAUGGACUUUAAAAGCGAAAGGAGAACAAGGAAAUCAAGCGAGGUGAUGCAACUGCAUGUGAGAGCAGACUCCCCGAGCGCACGGAGCGCAAAGGCAGCGCGCAAGGUCUUUGGAUUUGGACAUUCACUGGAUUAUUGGAGGAAACUGGUUCUGUCAACAGCGAGUGUUGACAUUUCGGCUUAGGAGAUAAACCUCACAAGGGAUCAAACAAAAACUGGACUUUUUGAGUGAAGAAAGGAGGGUGCGUUUGAGUGUGUUCAUGCAUGUUUGUGUAAAGAGGUAUCAGUGUUGCAAGUCUGCUGCUGACAACCUAAAGUGGAAGGACGCUGAUAUUGUCUGAGGGGUUUGGUUAUCUCCAUGUCAAAAGGCUGAGAAAACAUAAAAGUGAGGUGUGCUGAACACAUGUGCACACAUAUUUUAAUGAUUUAUAGGCCUACAGAAGUAAAAAUAGGAAUAUAAAUAUAAAAAUGCUAAACAUGUAUGUAGAAUGUUUUUAGGCUUGACUGACAUCUGUGUACUCAAAUAUAAAGUCCCACAGUAACAGCUGCUGGAUCAAAACAGAUAGAAAGAAUUUUUAGGACAAAAACAGCACAAUCAGACAACAUUUAAAAUACCGACAAGUGUAUGCUUUUAGUUUGUGAGGAACGAUAAGCACAUCAGCUCUAUAACAGUUGAAAGAAAUUAAAAUAUCGCUGAGACGAUUAGCCUUUACUGACUACAGACUCUUUUAGUUCCUAAUUGGGCAAAGGCUUGCUUGAUUUCUGAACACAAAACUGAGAAAAGGUGCUAAAUUUUUCCUCAAAAAUAAGACAAAGAGGUGUUUAUGUCUUUGGGUAACAUAUUAAACUUCUUCAGAAAAGCCAAAGAGACAAUAAACAUCUCAAGAGAAACAUUAAGGGAUGAGAAAGUAGCAAGAUAAUUAAUAGCUUGGUCUUUGCUAUAGUUAGGGGCAAUGCGAUUAAAAAGCUUAAUACUACCUGUUGACAGGCUACCAAUUAUAUCUCAUAGUCUCAUUUAGCUAUGACACUCACACAAAGGCAACAUUAUAAAUUUGUCAGUGAUGUAUUAUUGUUUAAAACAUGCUACAUGCUACUUUGGUAAUAGUGUCGAAGUGGUGCAGGCAGGAGAUAAGGUUUAUAAGGUUAAUAAAAAUACAUGGGCUACUCUGACACAGAGCAGGUCAAGGCUUGGCGCUUCCAAGUGUCUGAUGGAAUGUCAAUCAAAUUGGUGUGAGGGAUGUAAAAAGGGCUGGUAAAGAAAGAGUGGAAGGAAAAAUAACAGCAUCAGAGAGAGGGAGGGACCUGAGCACUGAGCAGGCAGCUGCCCUGUUAAUGUUUCUGACAGAAGUAGGGGUGAGGAGAAGAGGAU